GGGUCGUACGAUGGGACUAGGUGUGGGGGAAUUCCACGUUCUCCGCGCCGUAGCUAACGCAUUAAGUGCCCCGCCUGGGGAGUACGGUCGCAAGGCUAAAACUCAAAGGAAUUGACGGGGGCCCGCACAAGCGGCGGAGCAUGCGGAUUAAUUCGAUGCAACGCGAAGAACCUUACCAAGGCUUGACAUACACUGGACCGUUCUGGAAACAGUUCUUCUCUUUGGAGCUGGUGUACAGGUGGUGCAUGGUUGUCGUCAGCUCGUGUCGUGAGAUGUUGGGUUAAGUCCCGCAACGAGCGCAACCCUCGUUCUAUGUUGCCAGCACGUGAUGGUGGGAACUCAUAGGAGACUGCCGGGGUCAACUCGGAGGAAGGUGGGGAUGACGUCAAAUCAUCAUGCCCUUUAUGUCUUGGGCUUCACGCAUGCUACAAUGGCUGGUACAGAGAGAGGCGAACCCGUGAGGGUAAGCGAAUCCCUUAAAGCCAGUCUCAGUUCGGAUCGUAGUCUGCAAUUCGACUACGUGAAGUCGGAGUCGCUAGUAAUCGCAGAUCAGCAACGCUGCGGUGAAUACGUUCCCGGGCCUUGUACACACCGCCCGUCAAGUCACGAAAGUCGGUAACACCCGAAGCCGGUGUCCCAACCCACUUGUGGGAGGGGGCCGUCUAAGGUGGGACUGGUGAUUGGGACUAAGUCUCAAAAAAAGUACCCAAA
This 711-nucleotide ribosomal RNA is filed under the name Brevibacterium sp. RNAcentral's name for it is "bacterial SSU rRNA". It matches the Rfam family "Bacterial small subunit ribosomal RNA", at positions 797 to 1504 of the family's 1533-position model. Lineage: Bacteria; Bacillati; Actinomycetota; Actinomycetes; Micrococcales; Brevibacteriaceae. The record is from RNAcentral.